GUCUACGGCCAUGCCAUCCUGAACGUGCCCGACCUUGUCUGAUCUCGGAAGCUAAGUGGGGUUGGGCUUGGUUAGUACUUGGAUGGGAGACCACCUAGGAUUACCAGGUGCUGUAGGCG
This 119-nucleotide ribosomal RNA is filed under the name Pteropus alecto (black flying fox). The record is from RNAcentral. Lineage: Eukaryota; Metazoa; Chordata; Mammalia; Chiroptera; Pteropodidae.